CAGUCGUCGCUCGUAUCGCACGUUUCUGUUAGAAUAAUUCAGUCGCGCUUAAAAGUAUUGCUUUAAAGUUAUGCACUUUAAUUUAACAUCUUUUAUUGAAACGGAAUUCAAAUGUUGAACUAUUUAAAGGAAAUAUUUAAGGAAAAUGGAAUAACUCGUUACCCAUUGUACGAGAGGGACGACAAUGUUUUUCAAAGAACUGCCGACGCGUUUAGACGCGGGAAGUAGCAAUAAUCUCAAUGACUGAAGACAGAAAAGUCGACGGGCCUCGAUAAUGGCUAAUGAGACCGACCUGUAUUGUGUGCCGGGAGCGACGAGUUUCAAUAAAGUGUACAGCCGUCUUCACGGCUACAUCGCCAUCGUAAUAUGCAUAGUCGGUUCUGCGACGAACUCCAUAAACAUCACCGUUUUGAGCCGACGGGAGAUGUCCAGCGCCACCAACUCCAUCCUCACGGGUCUAGCCGUGGCAGACCUCUUAGUGAUGCUGGAAUACAUACCGUAUGUGUUGCACAUGAAUAUCAAAAUCGGGCCGCAAGUAAAUAAAAAUACUUAUGCGUGGACCGUUUUUGUUUAUUUUCAUUCCAUAUUCAGUCAGACUUUUCACACGAUUUCCAUCUGGCUGGCCGUUACUCUUGCCGUGUGGCGAUAUAUUGCGAUCGCGUACCCCCACAGGAACAGAACGUGGUGCAGCAAGCGAAAUACGUCCAUCGCCAUAGUGAGUGCCUAUGUGAUCUGUCCCUUUCUAUGUUUACCUAUUUAUUUCGCAAUGCAUAUAGUGUCGAGCGAAGUGACCGCGAAAAACAAUUCCCAGUUCGCGGAGGAUUUGUCGUUACCGCAAAACCGGACCGUUUACGUUUUAGAAAUGUCUAAGAAUAAAGAACUGGUGAUGGCCAUUAUGUGGAUCUACAGUGUCGUACUAAAACUCGUUCCCUGUAUAGCGUUAUCGGUACUGAGUACGUGUCUGAUAUCGAAAUUAACGACGACAGACAGAAGGAGACAGAAAUUACUGAAGCGCUCGAGCGUAGGGCCCAACGAGGCAGAAAAACAGUUUUUAUCAGAAGAAUCGAGUGCAGGGCGGCGUUCGAGUCGAACAGACAGGACGACUAGAAUGCUGCUUGCGGUCCUAGGGCUGUUUCUCUCGACGGAAGUGCCGCAGGGUUUAUUAGGGCUAGUCAGUGCUUUAGCGCCUGACUUCUUCAAAAGUUGUUAUAGCAUGUUUGGUGACCUAAUGGACGUCCUCGCUUUGUUCACAUCAUCUGUGAACUUUGUGCUGUACUGCAGCAUGAGUCGCCAGUUCAGGUGUACUUUCGCAAGACUCGUUCGACGUAUGUUGUCAACCGCCGAAGACUCUCCGAAACUAGCUGUUAAACAGGAACCAACUACGCAGGUAACCGGACCUCUUUAGCGACAAAUCCCCGCCCUCGGCAGGGUGGUGGAGGAGAGUACUAUAUAAGUUCUACAGGUGUUCACGUAGAACUUUCGUGACAGGUGACUUGGCACAUUUCUCUAUUCCUCAAUGAAAUGAAGCAUGUUUAUGCGUAAUUAGGGUAAGAGCGAAUUUAAAUUACGCGUCGAGUGAUCGUUUUGUAUUGUGUCUAUAUUAAUUAGUAAACAAUUAUCAAUUAUAUAAUAAGUUCAAGGUAAUGACACGAAAACUAAAUUUAGUCAUGUAAAAGUAGUAGUGGUAACAAUGUUAUUUUAGUGUUCUACAGUUAAUAAGUAGGGUCCAAAUCAUAUAUAUAUAUAUUUCCUAUAAGUUUCCAUUGUAAUUUUUAAUCAGUGAGAGGUCAAUUCGAACAAAUACAGCCGUAAAUAUUUUCUGAGUUAACGUUUGUAAAUUACUUACUAUUUCUAUUUUUGUAUUGAUAGAGAUACAAUUUAAUUAAAUUAUUUAAUAAAUUGUGAGGUGGUACAAUUCAA
Pieris rapae (cabbage white) is the source of this 1920-nucleotide RNA transcript. It is a transcript of the gene named G-protein coupled receptor dmsr-1, with no coding region annotated. The transcript has 6 exons. NCBI's taxonomy places the organism in Eukaryota, Metazoa, Arthropoda, Insecta, Lepidoptera, Pieridae. The record is from RefSeq and is a predicted model, not a curated record.